Long non-coding RNA from Wasmannia auropunctata (little fire ant), 1187 nucleotides. RefSeq lists it as uncharacterized. Lineage: Eukaryota; Metazoa; Arthropoda; Insecta; Hymenoptera; Formicidae. The transcript has 3 exons. The record is from RefSeq and is a predicted model, not a curated record.
UUUUGUCUACAAAUGUUAAUUGCAGUAACCUUUUAGAAAAAAAAUGAUUAAAUUAGACGUCCCGUUACACGACAAUCCGUUUACACGAUAAUUUGCAAAAAUAGAAGAAACGAUUUGACGGUGCAAAGUAUUUCGCAUAGCAGCGAUAAUCUAAUUUCCAUAUUUAUUUAAGAAAGAUUUAGAAAAAGAUAGCAUCGAAUUAUUAAAUUGCUUUGGCACUUUAAUUAUGAUAUCACGUACCACUCAGUUUGGAACUGCGUUUUAAAGACCGAUGAUUAUGCGGCGAGCAAUUUGCUCGAACUUUUAAAAUUGAAGUCAAGCUCGUAUGGAAUGCUCGUAUACAUGUCUGACCAUUGACCACGCGCGGGCGGCGUUUGAUUUCCAUCGGUGUCGCCAACGCCGAUGCCUUGCAAACUGGAUUUACAUGCCGCGGCUUUUGGACCCCUGCCAAAUUGGUUGCACCUGAUUCCGAUCUCGACGUACCCGGAGCAUUAUGGUAUUUUAUACGAGCGGCGACGCCGAUCUCUCGUGCGGGCUGGUGGCGCGACCAAGUUCGACCGCUCGAUUUUACGACAUAAAGUUUCAACCCCGGGGGCGAGCGCAAAUGACGGGCCUGCGACGAAGAACCGUGCCGGACGACACGAAGACCGACGUCAUAAGCGCAACGGUUUGCAGCAAGAAAACACGUCGAUCGAGCAUUAAAGCCUUUUUCCGCGCGGAGCACUCGGCGACACGCUGCGUAUCAAAGAUAAUACGCGCUCGCGUUGCAGUAAAUGCUAUACAUAGUACACAAUGAUGGUACUCGAUGCACUAAAAGCUUACGAGCGGUCAUCUUUUGCAGCUACCUUCGAAAAACGAUCGGAAGGGAUGUUCAAGCUCUUACAACUGUACGCGGAUCAGGCACAUAAUCUUUAAUUCAUAGAUAUAUUUAGUUCAUAGAUAUGAAAAAUUUAUUAAUUUAUCUUAUAAUUUAAGAGGAUCUUCAAUAUGUUAUAUCUUCAAAAAUAUCUUUAAAAAUUAUAAAAUUCUAUUUCUUUCUGUCUCCCUUUAAUAAUAUAAGAAAUGAUAUAAGAAAAAUAUUAAGUAUUCAAUGUCAACCUCUAUUACUAAAUUUAGAAUGCGAUCAAAUUUAAAUUCUUUUACUUUCAACUGCGAUUUCACAAUAAUUUUAUAACGUUUUUUUUUUC